GCUGAAAUUACGCCUACCAUGAAGCCGGAAUUGCUAGUAAUGGCAGGUCAGCAUACUGCCGUGAAUACGUUCCCGGGCCUUGUACACACCGCCCGUCACACCAUGAGAGUUGGGGAUACCCGAAGCCUGUGAGCCAACUAUAUAGAGGCAGCAGUCGAAGGUAGAAUCAAUGAUUGGGGUGAAGUCGUAACAAGGUAUC
RNAcentral lists this ribosomal RNA (199 nucleotides) under uncultured bacterium. RNAcentral describes it as "partial 16S ribosomal RNA". It matches the Rfam family "Bacterial small subunit ribosomal RNA", at positions 1304 to 1500 of the family's 1533-position model. The record is from RNAcentral.